AACAUAUGGAGUACCAUACUCUACUACUCUUUACCCAAAGGAAAAAAAAGGACAAUAUAACCCACACAAAAAACCAUUCCCAAUUCGAACCCACGAAUCCACGAUGUAUGCGGUUCAUCAAAUCUCAUCUCCCCAAGAACGCUAAACUUAAAUUUUCAUUCCCAAUUCGAUCCCCCAAUCGAAAAUUUUAAGGGUUCCUUGCAAUCCAAAAUCGCCGAGUUUCCUUCAAUCCAAAAUCGUUGAGUUUCCUUUAAUCCAAAAUUUGUAGAGUUCAUUUGCGGUUUCGCGGUUCUUCUUGUUAAUUUGUGCUAAAAUUUGCGUUUUACAGGUUUAUCAAUUAGGAAUUUGCGAUUUGAAAGUGUGAAUUGCAGUUUAAUUGCGAUAUACUGGUUUACUUUUGUUGAAUUUGGUGUUUUUUCCCAUAAUUUAUAAAUUUUGAUAAGUUUUUCCGAUGAUUUUAGCUGAAGAUCUAACUUGAUCUAUUUUGAUUUUUGUUUUUGUUUUAAGGGGAUGCAGUCCAAUAGAAUUUUGAAGGAGCUCAAGGAGAAAGAUCCUCCUACUUCUCGGACUGAUGGAACAUCCUGAUGUUGAUACUUUGAGAGCAACUGGCUGUCCAAUCUAUAAACAAUUGUGCAUAAUAUUCUCAGAAUCUGGUAAAAGUCAAAACAGAAAUGGAUAUGUUGAGAAGCAGGGAGGAGGGUUAGAUCCUGUGAGUAACAUUACAGAGGACUGCUCAACAGAAUCAGAAGGAGUGGCUUGUGUGGGGAAUGAGAAAGAGAAGUCUCCUCCAUGUGUAGAUAACCCUCAAUCAGUCAACCGGAAGAGAGGAAGGAAGGGGCUUGAGGAUUUGAUGGCGGAUGCUAUUUCCGAGAUGGCAGCUGCAUCAAGAAUGAGGGCAGAAAUAAUUCAGCAACGCAAUCAGAUAUUUACCAUAUCCAAGUGUAUAACUGCUUUGGAUGAGUUGCAGGGCAUUGAUGAAAAGAGUUUAGACACAUUGUAUCAAGAUGAAGGUGGUGGCGUUGGUGAGCGGUGGGAAAGACAGUUUUUAUGCCAUGAUGCAAUGCAUCCAUUACGGCCAUGAGAUUGUGGCCUUGGCUAAUUUGAUGCAUGCGGAUGAUUCGAUUGAGGAAUUGGAUAGCUUUAUGUAUCAAACUCACUUUUUGGUUUUCGAACUGAAAAAGGAUUGUUGAAGAAAAUUAAAAUGAGCACCAAGUGGAUACAAAUACAAUGUCCUCGGCAAAAGAAUGUCAUGGAUUCUAGAUAUUAUGACACGAGAUACAUGAAAGAGAUUAUCGACCAUAAGCAAACUCGAAUAUUUGAAGAUUACUUUCAUGAUUGCAAUGUUCCGAAUUAUGAUCAAGGACAAAUUGAUGAAGUCAGAGCUCAAUGGACGCGUCAUGAUCUUCUCGUGUGAAUAUUAUGGUGGAUUAAUUAUGUUUUUCGACUGGAAUUUCACUAGAACGCUUUAAUUUUAGUUUAUUGGUUUGAAAUUAAAAGAAGUAUUAUAUGACAAGGAUACUUCUUUCUGUUUUCUAGUGUGUUUUUAUUCUACUGUGUAUUUAGGCACAUAUGAUUUUAAGUUAUGCAUGAGACAUCGAGACGCUUAUUUGAUAUGAUAGAAAUGAAGUUGGAUCUUAUAUAUAUUCAAUUUGAUUA
RNA transcript from Spinacia oleracea (spinach), 1656 nucleotides. RefSeq lists it as uncharacterized. The record is from RefSeq and is a predicted model, not a curated record. NCBI's taxonomy places the organism in Eukaryota, Viridiplantae, Streptophyta, Magnoliopsida, Caryophyllales, Amaranthaceae. The transcript is spliced from 7 exons.